UACAGAGGGGGCAAGCGUUGUUCGGAAUUACUGGGCGUAAAGGGCGCGUAGGCGGCCUUCUAAGUCGAACGUGAAAUCCCCGGGCUCAACCCGGGAACUGCGUCCGAAACUGGCAGGCUCGAAUUCGGGAGAGGGAUGCGGAAUUCCAGGUGUAGCGGUGAAAUGCGUAGAUAUCUGGAGGAACAUCGGUGGCGAAGGCGGCAUCCUGGACCGAUAUUGACGCUGAGGCGCGAAAGCCAGGGGAGCAAACGGG
Molecule: ribosomal RNA, 253 nt
Filed under: uncultured bacterium
Lineage: Bacteria
Description: partial 16S ribosomal RNA
Rfam family: Bacterial small subunit ribosomal RNA
Source: RNAcentral